RNAcentral lists this ribosomal RNA (492 nucleotides) under uncultured bacterium. Its description in RNAcentral is "partial 16S ribosomal RNA". It matches the Rfam family "Bacterial small subunit ribosomal RNA", at positions 29 to 507 of the family's 1533-position model. The record is from RNAcentral.
AGUGAACGCUGGCGGUAGGCCUAACACAUGCAAGUCGAACGGCAGCACAGUAAGCGCUUGCUCUUACGGGUGGCGAGUGGCGGACGGGUGAGGAAUACAUCGGAAUCUACUUUUUCGUGGGGGAUAACGUAGGGACACUUACGCUACUACCGCAUACGACCUACGGCUGAAAGCAGGGGAUCUUCGGACCUUGCGCGUUUGAAUGAGCCGAUGUCGGAUUAGCUAGUUGGCGAGGUAAAGGCCCACCAAGGCGACGAUCCGUAGCUGGUCUGAGAGGAUGAUCAGCCACACUGGAACUGAGACACGGUCCAGACUCCUACGGGAGGCAGCAGUGGGGAAUAUUGGACAAUGGGCGCAAGCCUGAUCCAGCCAUACCGCGUGGGUGAAGAAGGCCUUCGGGUUGUAAAGCCCUUUUGUUGGGAAAGAAAAGCAGCAUGUUAAUACCCCGCUGUUCUGACGGUACCCAAAGAAUAAGCACCGGCUAACUUCGUG